CAAUGGGAUGCGAAUCUCGAAAGACCUGUCUCAGUUCGGAUUGGAGGCUGAAACCCGCCUCCAUGAAGCUGGAUUCGCUAGUAAUCGCGCAUCAGCCAUGGCGCGGUGAAUACGUUCCCGGGCCUUGUACACACCGCCCGUCAAGCCAUGGGAGCCGGGGGUGCCUGAAGUUCGUGACCGCAAGGAGCGACCUAGGGCAAAACUGGUGACUGGGGCUAAGUCGUAACAAGGUACC
This 235-nucleotide ribosomal RNA is filed under the name uncultured bacterium. RNAcentral's name for it is "partial 16S ribosomal RNA". It matches the Rfam family "Bacterial small subunit ribosomal RNA", at positions 1258 to 1500 of the family's 1533-position model. The record is from RNAcentral.